AUUGAACGCUGGCGGCAGGCCUAACACAUGCAAGUCGAACGGUAACAGGAAACAGCUUGCUGUUUCGCUGACGAGUGGCGGACGGGUGAGUAAUGUCUGGGAAACUGCCUGAUGGAGGGGGAUAACUGCUGGAAACGGUAGCUAAUACCGCAUAACGUCGCAAGACCAAAGAGGGGGACCCUCGGGCCUCUUGCCAUCGGAUGUGCCCAGAUGGGAUUAGCUUGUUGGUGGGGUAACGGCUCACCAAGGCGACGAUCCCUAGCUGGUCUGAGAGGAUGACCAGCCACACUGGAACUGAGACACGGUCCAGACUCCUACGGGAGGCAGCAGUGGGGAAUAUUGCACAAAGGGCGCAAGCCUGAUGCAGCCAUGCCGCGUGUAUGAAGAAGGCCUUCGGGUUGUAAAGUACUUUCAGCGGGGAGGAAGGGAGUAAAGUUAAUACCUUUGCUCAUUGACGUUACCCGCAGAAGAAGCACCGGCUAACUCCGUG
This 490-nucleotide ribosomal RNA is filed under the name uncultured bacterium. RNAcentral's name for it is "partial 16S ribosomal RNA". It matches the Rfam family "Bacterial small subunit ribosomal RNA", at positions 30 to 507 of the family's 1533-position model. The record is from RNAcentral.